UCAAAAUAUUUGAAUCAUUGAUGCUUUUGUUUCAAUUAGAUAAUGAUGAAAGUGUGAAUUUACCUCAGCUUUGAAUUGUUUAUAUCCUUGAGAUGAAGAAUGGGAGAGUAUCUUAAUAGCUACUUGUUCAGUACCAUUCACCAACUAUCAGAGACAACACUCAAUCUAUCCAAUUAAACUAUAAUCGUGAAUUCAAAACCCAAUUCAAACACCCAAUUAAACUAUAAUCGUACAAUCAACAGAAAUUGGGAACUCGAACGAGUCACGACUCCUUAUCACUCUAAGAAGCUAUGUUAAACAAAGGUUAGGUUUUAAACCUUCUUCUUCAUCUUCUUCGAGUAGGGUUUCAAUCCAAGUAGCUGGAGCUGAACGGAUCCGAGAUAAACCAAUUCGACUCUGAUAGGUUGAAGAUACCCUUAGCUUUCAUGAAGAAGAAGAUGAGAACCAGUGGAAGGAGGGCUCGUAAAUGGGAGAAGAAACAUGGGUGAAAAGUGGCUAGAAGUGAAGAAAAGAAGAAGUGUAGAGACUUUGAACAAAAAAA
RNAcentral lists this small RNA (541 nucleotides) under Arabidopsis thaliana (thale cress). RNAcentral's name for it is "ATSL302410". The record is from RNAcentral. Lineage: Eukaryota; Viridiplantae; Streptophyta; Magnoliopsida; Brassicales; Brassicaceae.